UGCGCCACAGAGGUAAGCGUUUUUGGGAUCGUGCUCGUCGCGGCGGCGGCGGCGGUAGGAGCGGCCUCCUCUACUCACCUCUCCCCCUCCCCCUCUCCUCCCACGACCUGUAGGAGCGCCCGAGGCUGCUGCUGAGCCUGCCGGGGCGGCUCCUGAUGAGCUUGUAGGUCUAGCUGCUCCCCAUGCGGGCGGCGAUGCUCGUGUUGUUCGCCGCGCUCCGCUACGUCGCGGAGUUCCUCUUCUUCUUCUUCCCGCAGCAGCGGCUGGGGCUGCUGCUCCUGCUGCUGCUGAGGCUGCUGCUAAGCCUACUCCUGCUCCGGCAGCGGCGGCGGAGCGCGGCGCAGCUGGCGGCGCACGAGGUCCAGUAGGCGGCGUAGGCGUCGCCGCUGUCGCGGUAGAAGCUGUUCCUGCGGUUCCACAUGAGGAGGAGCAGCCUCCUCCUGCUCCUGCUGCGGCUCCCCCUCGGGUUCCUCCCCUUCUUCCGGUUCUUCCUCGGGUUCCUCCCCUUCUUCCGGUUCUUCCUCGCCGGUGACAUGGAGUUCCUGCAGUUGCGGGUCGUGGACUAGCUCCUCCCGGGGCUCAAACGGCGCGUCUGACCGGCGCCGUCGUUCAUGCUGGCCUAACGGAUGUUGCUCGAGGUCUCCCUCCCCGACUUCCUCAAGGAACUCCGCCUCUUCUUCCGUAACCCCCUACCGCUACUGCUCCUCCUGCUAGACAAGUUCCGCUUCGUCCGACUUCCUCUACUGCCGCUGUCGCUUCUCCUGCUUCUGCUCUUCGUCUGGCUCCUCGACAACCAACUCCAAAAACCCCUACUACUGUUCGACCUACUUUUACUCUUCAAAAACUUCUUAAUGUAGGAGUUAUCCGGGAUGGAACUUGGUCACGGCCUAUUCAAGAGCGACCUACUAUAGGUCCUCCAGAGUGUCCUUCUCCUACACUAGCUUUGAGUCCUCCUGAUACUCCUAUAAAUAUUAUUCAACCCCUUAAUAUUUAAGGCCGUACUCCUCCACCUUCGAAGUCUCCCUCACCACUGACUAGCCCAUUACCCUGUAGGGGCCCAACAACUCCCCAGACACUCCUUCUUCCUCUCGUCGUCUUUCUUCGUCGCCUUCUCGUUUCUCCUUGCCGAACGCGCUCGGUUCGUCCUCGUCCGUCUCCUCGACUUCGUAGAGUUCUUAAACUUCUUCUUUCUCUAGCGACUCUUCGAACUCUUCUAGGCCUACUAACGACCUCAACUUCCCCUUCGACGGACAUUCGAACCACGUCUACUGAACCUCCUUCUAAAACUAGGUCUCCUAAUACUGUCCUUUUACGUCCUCUACAAACUACUGUCGAUGAUACCACGACUACUCCAACUAGGACCCAAACCUUCACCUCUACUAAAUCUAAACCAGUUUGGACUAAAACUGUUCCUUCUACUUAACGAACCCGAUGGGUUUCUAACCCGAGAACUACCAUUUCUUCCCAGAUGACGGUGACCACUCUUCUUCUUUUUCUUCUUCUUUUUAUUCCUCGAACGUUUACCACUCCUCCUUCCACUCUUUUUCUUCCCCUUCUAGAGAGAGUUCCUGUUCCACCUCGAACUCUUCCUCGAACUACUCAUAAUAUUCGAUCUGAUGCUCCUGUGGUAACCUCUAGACUUCUGUGCCAAGUUCAUAUCCGUUCAAGUCGGUUUGUCAAAACCGGACCUCUGCAUACUCUAUGACGUUAGUCUACUGUCCCUAGACUUGGUUAUACAUAGGUACUUCUUCGAUCGUGGUAUAUCCCUCCUACUUACCGUCCACUGAGUAGUAUUCUUCGACUCGUUUCUAAACUAGGAACCUCCUGUCUUCUAUCUUCCGUUUUUCCAGUUUAGAGUGUUCUUUAGAUUCAGACCCCUCCCGGGAUCAAGGCCCUCCGGUCUCUGUCUAUUCGGUUGUUCACUUGUUCUUCUUUGUCUACCAUUCUGACUCAGUUUUUCGUUCUUCGUGUUCUGACCCUUCUCUAGGUCCAGGCUCCUACCAGGACCAAGACUUUACCGUCUCCUUCAGUUCCACUGUUCACUCGUUCUUGUACGUCUACGGUUCUGACUCAGUUUUUCGUUCUUCGUGUUCUGACCCUUCUCUAGGUCCAGACUCCUAACAGGACCAAGACUUUGCCGUCUCCUUCAGUUCCACUGUUCACUCGUUCUUCUACGUCUACGGUUCUGUUUUAGUUUCUUCUCGUUCUUCCAGUCCUGACCGCUCCUUAGGUCCAGACUCCUUGUGGGAUCAAGACCUUUCGGUCUCCUCCCGUUCAAUUCUUCACUUCUUCUUUGUCCACCGUUCUUUUUUAGUUGAUCUUCACUCGCUUCCUUGGCAGCUUCCUUCCUCAACUUUUAUAGGUCCCUGUCCGUCCCCCGUAUGCCCAACUAUCUAGACUUCUCAGUCUUCUUGUUAACUAAAACCCCUAAGUCGUAUCAAGUAUACCUAUGAAAUCAAAAAGUUACGUGGAGACACACCCACAAGGCAUCACCUUUGUAGACAAACUUGGUAGUCAUAUGAUAGAUUCAUCCUAUAACAGCAGAUUAAAGCCGUCAAUACUUGGGUGACAAUAGGAUCAUCGUUGGAAAAACAGAGACUUUCAAAGCUUCUGCCAGGUAAGCACUUUCUAACUAAACCAAAACGACAAUAUCAAAACAAAGCGAACACUAAAGAACUACUCUCCAAAUUUCCUUACCAAUAGAAAGAUUUAACAGU
This 2717-nucleotide ribosomal RNA is filed under the name Triticum aestivum (bread wheat). RNAcentral describes it as "partial small subunit ribosomal RNA". Lineage: Eukaryota; Viridiplantae; Streptophyta; Magnoliopsida; Poales; Poaceae. The record is from RNAcentral.